UGGGGAAUAUUGGGCAAUGGGCGAAAGCCUGACCCAGCAACGCCGCGUGAGUGAUGAAGGCCUUCGGGUUGUAAAACUCUUUGGACAGGGAAGAAGAAAGUGACGGUACCUGUAGAACAAGCCACGGCUAACUACGUGCCAGCAGCCGCGGUAAUACGUAGGUGGCGAGCGUUAUCCGGAUUUACUGGGCGUAAAGGGCGUGUAGGCGGCUAGAUAAGUGUGAUGUUUAAAUCCAAGGCUUAACCUUGGGGUUCAUUACAAACUGUUUAGCUUGGGUGCUGGAGAGGAUGGUGGAAUACCUAGUGUAGCGAUAAAAUGCGUAGAUAUUAGGAGGAACACCGGUGGCGAAGGCGGCUAUCUGGACAGUAACUGACGCUGAGGCGCGAAAGCGUGGGGAGCAAACAGG
Molecule: ribosomal RNA, 406 nt
Filed under: Verrucomicrobiota bacterium
Lineage: Bacteria; Pseudomonadati; Verrucomicrobiota
Description: Verrucomicrobia bacterium partial 16S ribosomal RNA
Rfam family: Bacterial small subunit ribosomal RNA
Source: RNAcentral